RNAcentral lists this ribosomal RNA (518 nucleotides) under uncultured Glomeromycotina. Its description in RNAcentral is "SSU rRNA". It matches the Rfam family "Eukaryotic small subunit ribosomal RNA", at positions 569 to 1089 of the family's 1831-position model. The record is from RNAcentral. Lineage: Eukaryota; Fungi; Glomeromycota.
AGCAGCCGCGGUAAUUCCAGCUCCAAUAGCGUAUAUUAAAGUUGUUGCAGUUAAAAAGCUCGUAGUUGAAUUUCGGGAUCGAUAGGUCGGUCGUGCCUUCGGUACGUACUGAUGUUACCGAUUUCUCCCUUCUGAUGAGCCAUGAUGUCAUUAAUUUGAUGUUGUGGGGAGUCAGGACUGUUACUUUGAAAAAGUUAGAGUGUUUAAAGCAGGCACACGCUUGAAUACAUUAGCAUGGAAUAAUGAAAUAGGACGUUCGAACCUAUUUUGUUGGUUUUUAGGAUCAACGUAAUGAUUAAUAGGGAUAGUUGGGGGCAUUAGUAUUCAAUUGUCAGAGGUGAAAUUCUUGGAUUUAUUGAAGACUAACUACUGCGAAAGCAUUUGCCAAGGAUGUUUUCAUUAAUCAAGAACGAAAGUUAGGGGGAUCGAAGACGAUCAGAUACCGUCGUAGUCUUAACCAUAAACUAUGCCGACUAGGGAUCGGAUGAUGUUAAUUUCAAUGACUCAUUCGGCUACCG